This 306-nucleotide ribosomal RNA is filed under the name uncultured eukaryote. RNAcentral's name for it is "SSU rRNA". It matches the Rfam family "Eukaryotic small subunit ribosomal RNA", at positions 111 to 414 of the family's 1831-position model. The record is from RNAcentral.
AAUAAUUUAUUUGAUGGUUCCUUACUACAUGGAUAACUGUAGUAAUUCUAGAGCUAAUACAUGCGUAAAGUCUCGACCUCACGGAAGGGAUGUAUUUAUUAGAUAAAAAACCAAUGCGGGUACUGCCCGGUUUUGUGGUGAAUCAUAGUAACUUUUCGAAUCGCAUGGCUUCACGCCGGCGAUAGUUCAUUCAAAUUUCUGCCCUAUCAGCUUUCGACGGUAGUGUAGUGGACUACCGUGGCGUUAACGGGUAACGGGGAAUUAGGGUUCGAUUCCGGAGAGGGAGCCUGAGAAACGGCUACCACA